AACGCGUGAGUAACCUGCCUUACACAAGGGGAUAGCCUCUGGAAACGGAGAAUAAUACCCUAUGAAACUAUCUUAUCGCAUGAAAAGAUAGUCAAAGUGUUUUAGCGGUGUAAGAUGGACUUGCGUCUGAUUAGCUAGUUGGCGAGAUAACAGCCCACCAAGGCAACGAUCAGUAGCCGGCUUGAGAGAGUGUACGGCCACAUUGGGACUGAGACACGGCCCAG
Molecule: ribosomal RNA, 224 nt
Filed under: uncultured Eubacteriales bacterium
Lineage: Bacteria; Bacillati; Bacillota; Clostridia; Eubacteriales
Description: uncultured Clostridiales bacterium partial 16S ribosomal RNA
Rfam family: Bacterial small subunit ribosomal RNA
Source: RNAcentral